RNAcentral lists this ribosomal RNA (508 nucleotides) under uncultured bacterium. RNAcentral describes it as "partial 16S ribosomal RNA". It matches the Rfam family "Bacterial small subunit ribosomal RNA", at positions 28 to 507 of the family's 1533-position model. The record is from RNAcentral.
GACGAACGCUGGCGGCGUGCCUAAUACAUGCAAGUCGAACGCUUCUUUCCUCCCGAGUGCUUGCACUCCAUUGGAAAGAGGAGUGGCGGACGGGUGAGUAACACGUGGGUAACCUACCCAUCAGAGGGGGAUAACACUUGGAAACAGGUGCUAAUACCGCAUAACAGUUUAUGCCGCAUGGCAUAAGAGUGGACGGCGCUUUCGGGCGUCGCUGAUGGAUGGACCCGCGGUGCAUUAGCUAGUUGGUGAGGUAACGGCUCACCAAGGCCACGAUGCAUAGCCGACCUGAGAGGUUGUUCGGCCACACUGGGACUGAGACACGGCCCAGACUCCUACGGGAGGCAGCAGUAGGGAAUCUUCGGCAAAGGACGAAAGUCUGACCGAGCAACGCCGCGUGAGUGAAGAAGGUGUUCGGAUCGUAAAACUCUGUUGUUAGAGAAGAACAAGGACGUUAGUAACUGAACGUCCCCUGACGGUAUCUAACCAGAAAGCCACGGCUAACUACGUG